CCUACGGGAGGCAGCAGUGGGGAAUUGUUCACAAUGGGCGCAAGCCUGAUGACGCAACGCCGCGUGGGGGAUGAAGGCCUUCGGGUCGGAAACCCCUGUCGAAUGGGACGAAAAGCCCGCGAUUUAACAAAACGCGGGACUGACGGUACCGUUAAAGGAAGCCACGGCUAACUCUGUGCCAGCAGCCGCGGUAAU
This 195-nucleotide ribosomal RNA is filed under the name uncultured Bacillota bacterium. RNAcentral describes it as "uncultured Firmicutes bacterium partial 16S ribosomal RNA". It matches the Rfam family "Bacterial small subunit ribosomal RNA", at positions 338 to 524 of the family's 1533-position model. Lineage: Bacteria; Bacillati; Bacillota. The record is from RNAcentral.